GAUGAACGCUAGCGGCAGGCCUAAUACAUGCAAGUCGAACGGGAUCCAGAUCAAAGCUUGCUUUGGUCUGGUGAGAGUGGCGCACGGGUGCGUAACGCGUGAGCAACCUACCCUUGUCAGGGGGAUAGCCCGGCGAAAGUCGGAUUAAUACCGCAUGACAUCAUUGAGAGGCAUCUUUCGAUGAUCAAAGAAUUUAUUCGGACAAGGAUGGCUCGCGUGACAUUAGCUAGUUGGUAAGGUAACGG
This 245-nucleotide ribosomal RNA is filed under the name uncultured bacterium. Its description in RNAcentral is "partial 16S ribosomal RNA". It matches the Rfam family "Bacterial small subunit ribosomal RNA", at positions 28 to 263 of the family's 1533-position model. The record is from RNAcentral.